RNAcentral lists this ribosomal RNA (497 nucleotides) under uncultured bacterium. RNAcentral describes it as "partial 16S ribosomal RNA". It matches the Rfam family "Bacterial small subunit ribosomal RNA", at positions 28 to 507 of the family's 1533-position model. The record is from RNAcentral.
GAUGAACGCUGGCGGCGUGCCUAAUACAUGCAAGUCGAGCGAACAGACGAGGAGCUUGCUCCUCUGACGUUAGCGGCGGACGGGUGAGUAACACGUGGAUAACCUACCUAUAAGACUGGGAUAACUUCGGGAAACCGGAGCUAAUACCGGAUAAUAUAUUGAACCGCAUGGUUCACUAGUGAAAGACGGUUUUGCUGUCACUUAUAGCUGGAUCCGCGCCGCAUUAGCUAGUUGGUAAGGUAACGGCUUACCAAGGCAACGAUGCGUAGCCGACCUGAGAGGGUGAUCGGCCACACUGGAACUGAGACACGGUCCAGACUCCUACGGGAGGCAGCAGUAGGGAAUCUUCCGCAAUGGGCGAAAGCUUGACGGAGCAACGCCGCGUGAGUGAUGAAGGUCUUCGGAUCGUAAAACUCUGUUAUUAGGGAAGAACAAAUGUGUAAGUAACUAUGCACGUCUUGACGGUACCUAAUCAGAAAGCCACGGCUAACUACGUG